This is a long non-coding RNA of Haliotis rufescens (red abalone), 659 nucleotides long. RefSeq lists it as uncharacterized. Lineage: Eukaryota; Metazoa; Mollusca; Gastropoda; Lepetellida; Haliotidae. The transcript is spliced from 3 exons. The record is from RefSeq and is a predicted model, not a curated record.
ACGGAGAGUCUGCUAUUUGGAAAUAUGGGUUGGGUAAAUUGAUUAAGAAGAUGCAAAUUAGGAUGUGUAAGAGGCCAGAGGCCUCACAGUCUGUAUUGGAAAUCGGAAGGACUGCAGAGUGGCACAAUCCUGGCGCUGUAGGGGCCACAUGUUACUCACGUAGGAUGGGGAGAGACAGAAACACGCAAGAUUUCCUGUUUGCAUGUCACUUGCAGAAGAAUAUUCGAUACUGGCGGAUGUGAAGUUCGUAAUUGCAGCUCUUUUGGGAAUGUUUCUCUUGCUGGAGGGAUUCAUCGGAAGAUGGCGGAAACUAGAUGCCGUUACUAUUUCCUUCAUCCGCUCAUUGUGUAAAGUUGACGAGCUCGUUUCCGAGUCACUGGGUUAUUCUGCAGAUAACCUCUAACAAGUAGACUAAAUCCAGAGGAUGAUUUCAUAAGGUUUCCAUUGUAACGUAUUCAGGUCACGUGUUACUGUAGGUCAGUCCGCCUUUGGUAUCACUCGACAGCUUCCCUUAAAAUACAUCAGCAUGCAUCAUCGUCGAUGUCAUAAGAAACUAUUAUUUGGGGUACGUUUGUACAUUUUGUUUCUCAAUCCACAACCAUGAUAUAGUUUUUGUGUAUGUGUCUCUGAUACCUUUUAUCUUUACGUAAGAUCCUUAC